GCCUUCCCGAUGAGCACAAGACAAGAGCAGGUCAGUGUCUUGUCAUCAUUUAUGAACAGGCCUUCCCGAUGAGCACAAGACAAGAGCAGGUCAGUGUCUUGUCAUCAUUUAUGAACAGGCCUUCCCGAUGAGCACAAGACAAGAGCAGGUCAGUGUCUUGUCAUCAUUUAUGAACAGGCCUUCCCGAUGAGCACAAGACAAGAGCAGGUCAGUGUCUUGUCAUCAUUUAUGAACAGGCCUUCCCGAUGAGCACAAGACAAGAGCAGGUCAGUGUCUUGUCAUCAUUUAUGAACAGGCCUUCCCGAUGAGCACAAGACAAGAGCAGGUCAGUGUCUUGUCAUCAUUUAUGAACAGGCCUUCCCGAUGAGCACAAGACAAGAGCAGGUCAGUGUCUUGUCAUCAUUUAUGAACGGGCCUUCCCGAUGAGCACAAGACAAGAGCAGGUCAGUGUCUUGUCAUCAUUUAUGAACGGGCCUUCCCGAUGAGCACAAGACAAGAGCAGGUCAGUGUCUUGUCAUCAUUUAUGAACAGGCCUUCCCGAUGAGCACAAGACAAGAGCAGGUCAGUGUCUUGUCAUCAUUUAUGAACAGGCCUUCCCGAUGAGCACAAGACAAGAGCAGGUCAGUGUCUUGUCAUCAUUUAUGAACAGGCCUUCCCGAUGAGCACAAGACAAGAGCAGGUCAGUGUCUUGUCAUCAUUUAUGAACAAGCCUUCCCGAUGAGCACAAGACAAGAGCAGGUCAGUGUCUUGUCAUCAUUUAUGAACAGGCCUUCCCGAUGAGCACAAGACAAGAGCAGGUCAGUGUCUUGUCAUCAUUUAUGAACAGGCCUUCCCGAUGAGCACAAGACAAGAGCAGGUCAGUGUCUUGUCAUCAUUUAUGAACAGGCCUUCCCGAUGAGCACAAGACAAGAGCAGGUCAGUGUCUUGUCAUCAUUUAUGAACAGGCCUUCCCGAUGAGCACAAGACAAGAGCAGGUCAGUGUCUUGUCAUCAUUUAUGAACGGGCCUUCCCGAUGAGCACAAGACAAGAGCAGGUCAGUGUCUUGUCAUCAUUUAUGAACAGGCCUUCCCGAUGAGCACAAGACAUGAAAA
Long non-coding RNA from Oncorhynchus keta (chum salmon), 1091 nucleotides. RefSeq lists it as uncharacterized. The record is from RefSeq and is a predicted model, not a curated record. Lineage: Eukaryota; Metazoa; Chordata; Actinopteri; Salmoniformes; Salmonidae. The transcript has 3 exons.